Molecule: long non-coding RNA, 5490 nt
Filed under: Brassica rapa (field mustard)
Lineage: Eukaryota; Viridiplantae; Streptophyta; Magnoliopsida; Brassicales; Brassicaceae
Description: long non-coding RNA (BRAP_LNC000702)
Source: RNAcentral
UUAAAUUACAUACAAUAUGGAUCUACAAUAUGAAAGAUACAAUAUAAAAAACUAGACGCCGAACAUACAAAAGUUUAAGUGAAAUUAGAUAAUUUAAAAUAAACCAAUAUAUCAAAAGAUCUAUGUUGUAUCAAAAUAAAACGAAAUACUUCUUCAAACGAUCUAAACAAUGGUUUUAUAAAAUUUAGUCAGUAAAGUUGAAUCUCUUUACAAUAAAUAAGUCUAACGAUGAUAAAAACUAAAGAUCAGCCACAAAAUGACGAUUUUAUACAUAAAAUAUAGAAUCUAGAGAUUGAAUAAGUAUAACUCGCUUAUUAUUAACCUGAGAAAAUCACUCAAAACUCAAGUCCUCAAACUCUAAAUCCUCACAAGCUAUGUCACAACUUGACAUCUUCUUAUAUAGGACUUAUAAUAUCCUAAUCCUAUUAGGUAACAUAAUUAGAUAACUCCUAAACACUUUAUGUUUCCUAUUUUCCAUAUCUCGGUAGGAUUAGGUCUCAGACUUCCUUCUCAAGCUUUCUUAUCCUUCAAGCUUAUUUCAACAUUCUCCCCCUUAAGCUUGAACUUCAUCUUCGAAAGAUCUUGCACUCCAAUGAGAUCUCUCAUCUCUAAGAAUUUGACUCGCCCCAGUGGUUUGGUCAGGAUAUCCGCUCUCUGCUCGGUUCCAGGCACGUGCUCCACUUCUAUCAUUCCUUUCUCAACACACUCACGUAUGAAAUGAAAUCUAGUGUGAAUAUGCUUACUGCGACCGUGAAAGACGGGGUUCUUCGUAAGAGCGAUGGCUGAUUGAUUAUCAAUUCGAAUGAGCACCUUUUCACAGGCUUCUUCGUUUAUCUCCUCUAGCAGGUCGUGGAGCCAUAUUGCCUGCCGUGCAGCCUCCGUUCCUGCCAUAAAUUCUGCCUCACAAGACGAUAGAGCCACAGUUUCCUGUUUUGUUGAUGCCCAAGUGAUCGGACAUUCUCCCAAGUAGAAAACAUGACCCGUGGUGCUUUUGCCGUCGUCUGGAUCCACGUUGUGGCUACUGUCACUGUAGCCAACGAGUCUUGUUGGUUUCUCUGUGUGCGUGUUUUUGAAGUUCAGUCCAUACUCUGUGGUGCCUUUCAAGUAUCUUAGACACUGCUUCAUUGCCACUCCGUGCGAUUCCUUAGGAUCCUGCAUGAAUCUACUUAACACACCAACAGCGUAAGAAAGGUCGGGACGGGUGUGAAGAAGAUAGCGCAGACAGCCGAUCUUCUUUCUAUAGUCCGUUGCAUCGAUUGACCUUUCUUCCUCUGACUUUGAAAGCUUAGAGCCAGAUUCCAUAGGUGUUUGAACCGGGUUACAAGCUUUCAUACCUGCAUCCUCGAGAAUCUUCAUCGCGUAUCUCCUUUGGCUCAAUGCGACUCCUUCUUGGUGUUGAGUUACUUCUAUCCCAAGGUAGUAUGUUAACUCACCAAGGUCGCUCAUAUCAAAUUUCUCGGCCAUCUCUUUUUUGAACUCGUAGAUGAGCUCAACGUCUGAUCCUGUCACAAACAGGUCGUCGACAUAAACAGCGACAAUGAGAAGCUUACCACAAACUCUCUUGCGGUAUACUGAAGGUUCUUUUGUGCAUUUUCGGAACUUGAGCUCGAUGAGUAUUGCGUUGAGUUUGUUGUUCCAUGCACGCGGUGCCUGUCUCAAGCCAUAAAGUGCCUUGUGUAACUUGUAAACCUUGUUCUCGGAUCCCUUAACUUCGAACCCUUCUGGUUGAGAUACGUAGACGGUUUCCUUUAACUCCCCGUGCAAGAAGGCCGUUUUUACAUCAAGAUGGUGUAUAAUCCAUCGAUUCAAUGCUGCUAAGUUGAUGAGAAGUCGGAUUGUCUCAAUCCUUGCCACCGGUGCAAAGACUUCAUCGAAGUCUACUCCAUGUUGCUGAACAUAACCCUUCGCUACCAGUCUUGCUUUGUGCUUCUUAAUGCUUCCAUCUGAAUUUCGUUUCAACUUAAAUACCCACUUCAAGCCAAUUGCUUUUGCCCCUUGAGGAAGCUCCACUAAUGUCCAGGUUUCGUUCUCAACGAUCGAACAUAUCUCGUCCUCGCACGCAAGAGUCCAUUCCCUCGAACCCUUUGCUUCCCUGAAACUACUUGGUUCAUUGUUUAGGACCAUGAGUAGAGUAUCUCCUUCCUCUUCUGCAAGAAACAACAUGUAAUCAUCAAGAUAUUUUGGUUUGUUGCUUUGCCUCUCCGAUCUCCUUAGCAUAAUUUCUGCUCCUUCUUCAACUUCUUGGCUUUCAGUCGCAUCUUGUGGUGUGUCUGUGACAUGAUCAGUAGGUUCGACGACAUUAAUAUCUUCAUCCUCCACGUUUGUAGCUUCCAUAACAUCUCCAUGUAUCCCAUGGUUGCCGUAGGUUCCAAGAGAGAUUCUUAGAGCUCCAGUAUCAUCUUGUGACAUUUGCUCUUGGCUCCAGUUCCACCCUUUUGUUUCAUCAAAGACUACGUCCCUGCUCACUACUAUCUUCUGAGCUUGUGGAUCGAACAUUCGAUAAGCUUUUGAUCCUGGUUCUGUCCCUAAGUGAACAAGCAUCUGCGAUCGAUCAUCGAGUUUCCUUAGGUGUGGUUUCACCGUUCUGGCAUAACCUAUGCAUCCAAAGAUUCGUAUGUGAGAGAUAUUAGGCUUGGACCCUCGAAACAUCUCGUACGGUGUCUUCUCCUUAAGCACCCUUGUCGCGACUCGAUUAAGCAAAUAUGUCGUGUGCCUAAUUGCCUCUCCCCACAGAUAGUUUGGAACCUUCAUGUGUUUGAGCAUGCUCCUCGUCAUCUCCAUCAUAGUCCUGUUGCGUCUUUCGACCACGCCGUUUUGUUGUGGCGUGUAUGGCGCUGUAAGGUGUCGUUUGAUUCCAGCAUCCUCGCAGUAUGUAUUGAACUCGUGGGAAACAAAUUCUCCUCCUCUAUCACUUCUGAAUGUUUGUAUCUUCUGUCCCGAGUCUUGCUCUACCAGUGCUCGAAACUUCUUGAAUUUCUCAAAAGCUUCGCUUUUCUCUUUCAACAAUAUCGUCCACAUAUAACGAGAAUGAUCAUCGAUGAGCACAAAAACAUACUUGUUUCCAGGACGUGUAGUUGGUGAUAUUGGUCCACAUAGAUCACCAUGGAUAAGUUCAAGAACCUUCUCUGCCCUAUAAGAAGUCGCUUGAGGGAAGGUAUUCCUUGUUUGUUUGCCAAGCAAGCAAGAACCGCAUAUCCCUUUAUCGAAACUGAGAUGAGGUAAUCCGACUACAAGUUCCUUCUGCACCAUGGAUUUGAUUGUAUCCAUGUUUAUGUGUCCUAAUCUGGCGUGCCAUCUGCUUGAUUCGCUGGUUGUUGUAGAUAGUAAGCAUAUGUUGUCUUUUACUCCCAUUCGAACCUUGUACAAACGAUUCCUCUGUCUUGUUGCAGAGACAAGUAGUUUACCGUCCUGAUCGUGCAUUGUCAAGGUUUCCCCUCUUAAUCUUAUAUCGCACCCAGCUUCAGUAGCCUGUCCAAGGCUAAUAAUAUUACUUCUAAGCUCAGGGAUAUAGUAUACGUCACACAUUACCCUCGUCUCUCCGUUGCGAUCAAUGAACUCAAUCGAACCUUUUCCUCUGAUAUCAAUCCUAGAGUCAUCUCCAAACUUAACUUUUCCUGUUAUAGACUCAUUGAUCCUUUUAAAAUAUCUCCUGUCACCAGUCAUGUGGUUACUGGCUCCAUUGUCUAAGUACCACAUGUCAUCCUCUCCUGUAUUGAGCUCGUAUUUGUUUAGCAUUACCUUUUCUUCGUUUAGGUAAACGACUUCGUUUAACAUGAGUUCAUCUGCAUCUUGUGUAGAGUCUUUAUCAUGCUCUUGCGCCUCCUGAAGCUUGAGAAGACGAUCCGGACAUGUAGAGGCAUAGUGUCCCAUCUUGUCGCAUCUGAAACACGUUAUUCUCGACGUGUCUCUACCUCCGUUAUUGCGACCACCUCGGCCUCUUCCCCUGUAGGAACGUCCCCUUCCUCGAUACCCUCUGUAAUCAUCUUGAUAGUCACGGUUUGACUGUUGCUCUGUAUUGGAAUACAUUAACUUGCUCUGUUCUUCUUGAUUAUCAUCUUCAUCUUGGACACGUUCUUCGUAAGCUUUAAGUCGACCCACAAUAUCUUCAAAAGCCGUGUUCUUGAGGUCCAAGACUUGUUCGAGAGAUGCCACUAUGUGAAUAUACUUUUUGCGAGGAAGACUUUUCAGAAAUUUCUUGACAAGUUUAGAUUCUUCAAUCUCUUCUCCUAGGGCAGAGGAUUUUGAAGAAAUUUCAGAAAGCUUGUCGGCAAAGUCAUCUAUCUUCUCUGUCUCCUUCAUCUUUAAUUUAUCAAAUUCUGUCAUUAGGGUUUGUAGUCUGGCUUCUCUCACUCUUUCGGCACCAACGUAUCGAGCUUUGAUAGCAUCCCAAACCUUUUUCGCCGUGUCUAACUCCCCAACCUGUAGUACUAAGGCCUCGGGUAUCGCCUGAAACAACAGAGCAGUUGCCAUGUCGUUUUUAUCAUCGUUUUUGUCGUCGUCCUCUGUUGCUGUCUCAACAAUGCUCCAUACCUUAUGAACUCGCAGGAUGUUUUUCAUUCGAAUAGCCCAGACGGUAUAGUUCGUCGAGGUCAGCAUUGGACACUUGAUUGAGGAUUGCUCUCCCUCCUUCGGUUUUGCUGACGUUAUGAUUGUAAGAUCUCCCAUUCUCAGCUUUCCUUAUGUCGAUCAAACAGAUGUUGAUUUCGUAAGGCUCUGAUACCAAAUAUAGAAUCUAGAGAUUGAAUAAGUAUAACUCGCUUAUUAUUAACCUGAGAAAAUCACUCAAAACUCAAGUCCUCAAACUCUAAAUCCUCACAAGCUAUGUCACAACUUGACAUCUUCUUAUAUAGGACUUAUAAUAUCCUAAUCCUAUUAGGUAACAUAAUUAGAUAACUCCUAAACACUUUAUGUUUCCUAUUUUCCAUAUCUCGGUAGGAUUAGGUCUCAGACUUCCUUCUCAAGCUUUCUUAUCCUUCAAGCUUAUUUCAACAUAAAAUAAAACCAAGCUCUUUUACCAAAAAAUAAAAUAAAACCAAGCUCUUCAAAUUAAAAAAAAAAUUCUUAACAACAAAUUUAACUAAAAAAAGUGGACCAACCCCUAGUAACAUAUAUAUAUAUAUCAUAUAUUUGUCAAAUAUAUUUAGUUUGAAAUUAUAAAUCUAAAUUUCAGAAAAGACGAUCAUAAAUAACACCCUUAAUAUAAUAAAAAUUAUACUGUAGAAGGGAAAUGUUAGUUAAAACAAAUGGGUAAAUAUACAAAAAGUGUUUGGAGGAGGGAAAUUAUUUUCUUGUGAUAUAAAAUUCUGUGAUAUUGGAGGAGGGAAAUUAGAGCGAUGGACCAAUGAAUAGGGUGGCAGAAAACGCAGAAAUAUAGGUAUGGAUCGGAAACGAGUGGAUAUAAAUCUAGCCCGCGCGUGACGGGUGGGGCUUCAAGUCAUUUGUGCAAACGUGUUAACCCUUAGUUUUUCCUGAUCACUGUGACAAAAAAAA